Non-coding RNA from Schistocephalus solidus, 72 nucleotides. The record is from Rfam. Lineage: Eukaryota; Metazoa; Platyhelminthes; Cestoda; Diphyllobothriidea; Diphyllobothriidae.
GGCUCCAUUGUGUAGCGGUUAGCACAAUGGACUCUGAAUCCAGUAACCAGAGUUCGAGUCUCGGUGGUGCCU